Molecule: transfer RNA, 89 nt
Filed under: Phytohabitans flavus
Lineage: Bacteria; Bacillati; Actinomycetota; Actinomycetes; Micromonosporales; Micromonosporaceae
Description: tRNA-Gln
Source: RNAcentral
CGUCGGGAUGGGCGGUGGACGCUGCCGGGGUGCUGGUCUCCGGCGCGACGGCGGGCGCGGUGGCCGCGAUCGCGCUGCGGGCCGGCGUC